RNAcentral lists this ribosomal RNA (397 nucleotides) under uncultured bacterium. RNAcentral describes it as "bacterial SSU rRNA". It matches the Rfam family "Bacterial small subunit ribosomal RNA", at positions 28 to 429 of the family's 1533-position model. The record is from RNAcentral.
GACGAACGCUGGCGGCGUGCUUAACACAUGCAAGUCGAGCGGUAAGGCCCUUUCGGGGGUACACGAGCGGCGAACGGGUGAGUAACACGUGGGUGACCUGCCCUCAGCUCUGGGAUAAGCCUGGGAAACUCGGUCUAAUACUGGAUAUGACUCCACGGUGCAUGUCGUGGGGUGGAAAGCCUUGUGCGGCUGAGGAUGGGCCCGCGGCCUAUCAGCUUGUUGGUGGGGUGAUGGCCUACCAAGGCGACGACGGGUAGCCGGCCUGAGAGGGCGACCGGCCACAUUGGGACUGAGACACGGCCCAGACUCCUACGGGAGGCAGCAGUGGGGAAUCUUGCGCAAUGGGCGAAAGCCUGACGCAGCGACGCCGCGUGAGGGAUGACGGCCUCGGUGUAAC